GACAGAGGUGCCAAGCGUUAGGCGGAAUCACUGGGCUUAAAGCGUGUGUAGGCGGAUCGUUAAGUACCUUGUGAAAUCCCACGGCUCAACCGUGGAACUGCUGGGUAUACUGGCGGUCUUGAGCCACCUAGGGGCAACUGGAACAAGCGGUGGAGCGGUGAAAUGCGUAGAUAUCGGAAGGAACAUCAGUGGCGAAAGCGGCUUCCUGGACCAGCACCGACGUUCAGGCACGAAAGCGUGGGGAGCAAACAGG
Molecule: ribosomal RNA, 253 nt
Filed under: uncultured bacterium
Lineage: Bacteria
Description: partial 16S ribosomal RNA
Rfam family: Bacterial small subunit ribosomal RNA
Source: RNAcentral